RNAcentral lists this ribosomal RNA (494 nucleotides) under uncultured bacterium. RNAcentral describes it as "partial 16S ribosomal RNA". It matches the Rfam family "Bacterial small subunit ribosomal RNA", at positions 28 to 507 of the family's 1533-position model. The record is from RNAcentral.
GACGAACGCUGGCGGCGUGCUUAGCACAUGCAAGUCGAACGGUGAAGCGCCUUCCUUUUUGGUGGGUGUGGAUGAGUGGCGAACGGGUGAGUAACACGUGAGUAACCUGCCCCCUUCUUCUGGAUAACCGCAUGAAAGUGUGGCUAAUACGGGAUAUUCUGGGUCUGUCGCAUGAUGGGUCUGGGAAAGAUAUUGUUUCGGUGGGGGAUGGGCUCGCGGCCUAUCAGCUUGUUGGUGGGGUGAUGGCCUACCAAGGCGGUGACGGGUAGCCGGCCUGAGAGGAUGGACGGUCACACUGGGACUGAGACACGGCCCAGACUCCUACGGGAGGCAGCAGUGGGGAAUAUUGCACAAUGGGCGCAAGCCUGAUGCAGCGACGCCGCGGGAGGGAUGGAGGCCUUCGGGUUGUGAACCUCUUUCGCCAGUGAAGCAGGCCUGCCUCGUUUGUGGGUGGGUUGACGGUAGCUGGAUAAGAAGCGCCGGCUAACUACGUG